GAUGAACGCUGGCGGCGUGCCUAAUACAUGCAAGUCGAGCGAACAGACGAGGAGCUUGCUCCUCUGACGUUAGCGGCGGACGGGUGAGUAACACGUGGAUAACCUACCUAUAAGACUGGGAUAACUUCGGGAAACCGGAGCUAAUACCGGAUAAUAUAUUGAACCGCAUGGUUCAAUAAUGAAAGACGGUUUUGCUGUCACUUAUAGAUGGAUCCGCGCCGCAUUAGCUAGUUGAUAAGGUAACGGCUUACCAAGGCAACGAUGCGUAGCCGACCUGAGAGGGUGAUCGGCCACACUGGAACUGAGACACGGUCCAGACUCCUACGGGAGGCAGCAGUAGGGAAUCUUCCGCAAUGGGCGAAAGCCUGACGGAGCAACGCCGCGUGAGUGAUGAAGGUCUUCGGAUCGUAAAACUCUGUUAUUAGGGAAGAACAAAUGUGUAAGUAACUAUGCACGUCUUGACGGUACCUAAUCAGAAAGCCACGGCUAACUACGUG
Molecule: ribosomal RNA, 497 nt
Filed under: uncultured bacterium
Lineage: Bacteria
Description: partial 16S ribosomal RNA
Rfam family: Bacterial small subunit ribosomal RNA
Source: RNAcentral